Molecule: ribosomal RNA, 344 nt
Filed under: uncultured eukaryote
Lineage: Eukaryota
Description: partial 18S ribosomal RNA
Rfam family: Eukaryotic small subunit ribosomal RNA
Source: RNAcentral
CCCUUAGAUGUUCUGGGCCGCACGCGCGCUACACUGAUGAAUUCAACGAGUAUACUUGUCUUCUUCGAAGACAAUUCCUUGGUUGAGAUGCCUGGGCAAUCUUUUAAACGUUCAUCGUGAUGGGGCUAGAUUAUUGCAAUUAUUAAUCUUAAACGAGGAAUUCCUAGUAAACGCAAGUCAUCAGCUUGCAUUGAUUACGUCCCUGCCCUUUGUACACACCGCCCGUCGCACCUACCGAUUGAAUGGUCCGGUGAAAACCUCGGAUUUUUGUUUUAUUCCGUUAGGAAAAUUACGAGAAGAAGUCGUUUAAACCUUACCAUUUAGAGGAAGGUGAAGUCGUAACA